Molecule: ribosomal RNA, 423 nt
Filed under: uncultured bacterium
Lineage: Bacteria
Description: partial 16S ribosomal RNA
Rfam family: Bacterial small subunit ribosomal RNA
Source: RNAcentral
GAAUCUUCCGCAAUGGGCGAAAGCCUGACGGAGCAACGCCGCGUGAACGAAGAAGGCCUUCGGGUCGUAAAGUUCUGUCCUCAGGGAAGAACCCUCAUGGGAGGAAAUGCCCAUGAGCUGACGGUACCUGGGAAGGAAGCCCUGGCUAACUACGUGCCAGCAGCCGCGGUAAUACGUAGAGGGCAAGCGUUGUCCGGAAUGACUGGGCGUAAAGGGUACGCAGGCGGAUAAGUAAGUCAAAUGUGAAAGGCACCGGCUCAACCGGUGAGCUGCAUUUGAAACUGCCUAUCUUGAGUUCAGGAGAGGAGAGCGGAAUUCCUGGUGUAGCGGUGGAAUGCGUAGAUAUCAGGAAGAACACCAGUGGCGAAGGCGGCUCUCUGGCCUGAAACUGACGCUCAUGUACGAAAGCUGGGGGAGCGAACG